Long non-coding RNA from Chroicocephalus ridibundus (black-headed gull), 652 nucleotides. RefSeq lists it as uncharacterized. The record is from RefSeq and is a predicted model, not a curated record. The transcript is spliced from 3 exons. NCBI's taxonomy places the organism in Eukaryota, Metazoa, Chordata, Aves, Charadriiformes, Laridae.
GCCGAGGGGAGCGGGGCGGUGCCUGCGGAACCACCCGGGCGGCGCGGUGGGACUCGGCCUCUCUCCGCGUCCGCCACCGUGAGGCACAGCGGCGGAGCUUGGACGGGGCGGCCGCCAUGAGGGCUUCCAGCUGGUGUGGCGGCUGAGGCGCGUGUGAGGGGGAUGGCUGUAACGCGGAGCUCUGGGGUGGCAAAGAGCUGUCUGGGAGACACAGCCCUCGGGUAACAGCUCCUCAACGGUGGCCUUCAUCGAUGGAAACCCCCGAGUCUUGCCAUAGCAUGACCUGUGCCUGUGGAGAGGAGAUGUGAGGGAAUAACCUGUGUGUGAGGCACGGGGAGAGAGCGGGAGCCUUUUGAGCUACGAGGGAGGGGGCUUGGUGGGGCAGCGGUAGCUGUCAGAAGAAAAGGAGUAAGCUGUUGGUGCCGCUUUGUAGGCCGCCAUUUGAAACAGAUUGAGAAGAUGGAAACUUACACAGUUUAAGUGGGAUUGCUGGAGAACUACUUGUUUUCAGGAUCUGGAUGCAGUAACUUUUGAAACAUCAAAGGUGGUUACGGGCAAGGUAUAACACAAAUUAGAUACACAAUUUGUUAAUGCCCUCUCACUGCUUGUUUAAAAUGAUAUCUUUAUUAAACUUAAUUUAUUUUUAAACUUG